Molecule: long non-coding RNA, 1851 nt
Organism: Struthio camelus australis
Lineage: Eukaryota; Metazoa; Chordata; Aves; Struthioniformes; Struthionidae
Source: Ensembl
UAUGCUGCUCUUGUGCUUUUCUUUUGACUCCUAAUCUGAUGCAGAUUUCUAUUCCCUUCUCAGCUCUGGCAGCCCUUUAAGAUUAGACCCUGCCUUGCAAGACAGUGCUCUGGGUAUUGUCCCUGAAAAUCAGGUUUCCAAGGGACAGAAACUUGGACGUGCAGAGCAGAGCGAGUUGUGGAGUGCUGAUCCAGGCUGGAAGACCAGGACACAGACCGAGCCUUGCAACUCAGCCACCUGGCAGUCUGGGCAAGCCAUAGCUUUUCAGCGGUGUGCCUGAAGUAAUACUCUGUUGCAAACUGGGGAGUUGAAUAGUACAAUCACAAGAAAGAACGAACUUGCUGGGUAAUAUUUUGUAGCAUUUUCAGAGGUAAGCUCAAUAACUGCGAGCCCUAAAAUUAUUUGUUUAGCACCCCGAUAACAGCUCUUCCAAAGACAGUGGUUUGGGGUGAAUGUUCCUCUGGUCUGAUUUCAUAUUGAUUACAAUAUGUACAGAGUUCAACUUUCAAUUCUUUCCCCCCGUCAAGGGGGAAGAAGGAUAGUUCCCUCUCUUAGGUGUGGAAUCUUGUUGCUCUACUUCCAGUGAUGAAAACUACUGAAGUGUUGAGCUUUUAUCCUUUCUCCUUAUGUUAAGGCACCUGUUUUGGCAUAUCAUCAGAUCCCAUUGGCAAACUCCCAAAAAUGAUACCUCUUUAGUAGUCUCCUGAUAGAUGGUUUCCUGGUAAGAUCUGUAAGUUGUACGGUGCCUUUUAUUUUUCAGUACUUUCUUAUUAGAGUAAUUUUAAUUAUUCUAUAGUCAUCUAUUCCAUAGUCAUCUUCAUUCUCAGAUGCAGUGAUUGGAGCUUCUCACAACUUCCUAUGCUUCAUUUCCCUCCUGUGACUGAGACCAUCCAAAGUUGUGAGACUACCCAUACAGAACAUUUAUGAAAAAUUGAAUCUUCCCCUAAUAAUGCAGAUUGCCAUAGAUCCUGGAAAACUGCAAGUCUCUUCCAGGAAAAGAAUAUCCUGUCACCAGGUCCAAUCCUGACAGAGGUAAAAAUUUACUCUCAUUUUUUUUAUUAGUUUCUCUCCUAACAUAUUUUGGAAAGAGUUACUGGAACACUAGAGCUUAAAUUUGUCUUGAAAUGGUGCACCGACCAGCCAAAGAUUAUUCAAGAUUUAUCUGCAGUGAGCGUCCUCACAAAAUUCUGUCAAAGUUUGGCUUGAAAAGCAAACCUGUUGUGUGAUUACUUCUCCAAAGAGUAUCUGAAUUUUUUUGUUCUUGAAAUCUACCAGCAAAUCUUAGAAGAGCAAGCUACUAAGUUUUCUCUUUAACAAAAGACAAAGUCCCAAUUCUGACUAUAUCAGAAAUAAGGGCUGUUGGGGAUUUUUUUAAAGCUAUUUUUAUACUGCCUCAUCAAGUCCACAUAAGCCAUGAAACAUAGAAGCACGCAGAAAUGUAUAGAUAAAGUGCCUCACUUCUUUCAGUUCAAUUUUAAUUCAUUUUGAAUGGAAUUAAGGCAAAGGUUCAAGUUGACUCCUUUUCUAACCUAAUUUUCUUCUCGCAAUUAGUACAUUUCAUAGUCUUGACUUUGGAGUACAUUAUUUAUUUAAGAUGUCUCUCUGCUAGCUGUGAAGAAUUAAUUCUUCAAACUAUGCAAUAGACAAAUAUUCUGUAGCUGAGACCAGCAAACUCAUUUUCACUUGUGGAUUUGAACUCACAGGCCAGAUUCAUCAAUGAGAUAAUGAGACAUUUUCUGUAUUUCAAUUUUUAACAAUUUUCAUAUCCGUAUUCAUUAAAUUUUAAAAGAAGAUAAAUAAUGGAUGGUUCUAGUGAUAUCUGUUAAAUAAAUUCCAUAGGAAGAGAAAACA